AGCUCCAGUAGCGUAUAUUAAAGUUGUUGCAGUUAAAAAGCUCGUAGUUGGAUUUCUGGUACGCCAGUGCUGACCCUGUUCCAAUAUGGAUAUGUGUGUCGGUCUUUGGCUACCAUCCUUCCAGAGAACUCGUUCUAUCCCUUCACUGGGCCGGGACAGCGAUCUGGAACUUUUACUUUGAAAAAUUAGAGUGUUCAAAGCAGGCUUGCGCUAUGAAUACAUUAGCAUGGAAUAAUAAUCUAGGACUCCGGUUCUAUUUUAUUGGUUUCUAGGACUGGUUUAAUGAUUGAUAGGGAUAGUUGGGGGUGCUAGUAUUCAGCGGCCAGAGGUGAAAUUCUUGGAUUCGCUGAAGACUAACUUAUGCGAAAGCAUUCACCAAGGAUGUCUUCU
RNAcentral lists this ribosomal RNA (390 nucleotides) under uncultured eukaryote. RNAcentral's name for it is "SSU rRNA". It matches the Rfam family "Eukaryotic small subunit ribosomal RNA", at positions 587 to 972 of the family's 1831-position model. The record is from RNAcentral.